UACGAAGGGGGCGAGCGUUGUUCGGAUUUACUGGGCGUAAAGGGCGCGUAGGCGGCGGCCCAAGUCGAGUGUGAAAGCCCCGGGCUCAACCUGGGAGGUGCGCUCGAGACUGGUUUGCUGGAGUUCGGGAGAGGAGCGUGGAAUUCCCAGUGUAGAGGUGAAAUUCGUAGAUAUUGGGAAGAACACCGGUGGCGAAGGCGGCGCUCUGGACCGAGACUGACGCUGAGGCACGAAGGUCAGGGGAGCAAACGGG
Molecule: ribosomal RNA, 253 nt
Filed under: uncultured prokaryote
Description: partial 16S ribosomal RNA
Rfam family: Bacterial small subunit ribosomal RNA
Source: RNAcentral